ACAGAAAAGGAUGACAUUUUGUGGAGGAGGGUGUCGGAGUUUUUGGUGGUGCUGCCGGGGAGAGUGGUGGUGAGUGGUGGCUGAUAGAGGAGGUGAUGAACAUUUUGUAGAUGAGAAGGGGAGUGUGGUGGACUUUUGGUGAGUGCCAAAGGGCAGGGUGUUUUUGUGUGUUAUUGAGGUGUAAGGUGUUAAAUGUUAAAUUUCAUUGUCAAGGGGUGAAAUUGGUGAAAAGAUAAAAGAGCCUGAUUGGCUUUGAAGAUCGGGUUUUAAGUUAUUUUCGAUUUUAAAUUAAAAAUUAUUUAUUUAUAUAUUAAGUUAGAAAUUGUAUAAAAGUCAAAAAUAAAUUAGAAACUAAAAUUAAUUUAGAUGUUUUAGUGACUUAAUUUUUAAAAAGUUCUGAAAUUAUUCACAAAUAAGUUACAUGUAAAUCAUUUUCAUUUUUAUUUUAAAUUUUUAAACAUUCAUAAAAUCAAAUUAUCCAACAAAUAUUUCAAAUUCUUAAUAUAUUAAAUCAUGUUAAAUUAUCGAGCACAAUUUUAAAUUGAGUCAAACGGUCUCAAAAUCAUACGGUUAAUAUGUUCCGGCUAUUAUGUUUAUCCGUCAUAGUUAUAACUCAAAAACAUUUGCGCCGUUUAGGCAAAUUUAAAAAAAAGUGAUUUCUGGCUUAAAGUAAAAAAGUGGAUUAAAAUGUAUUAAAAUCCCAAUCGAAUACACCCCCUAGAAGUGAGAAAUAAAUAAGUUAAUAAAGUGUUUGGAAAAGAAGAGAAAUUUUGAGACAAAUUCUUAAAAAUACUUAUACUUUUUUUUUUUUUGAAGGUUAAAAAUACUUAUACUUAUUUACACAAACGGGUUAAAAGAAUUAGAAAUCAGAAGUUGUGCUUCUCAGAAACAAUCGGGGCCAUUAUGAUGGUCUUUUUUAGUGAUAGGAUCACGAAAUAUUUUUGUCCCGGAAGAGCCAACGAAAGAGGUUCCAGUCUGACGUUAUUUUUUGACAUCGAUAAGUGUGCCAUGUGAGUGUUCCAUUAUUUCGCGGACGCAUCAUCGUGUGGUUUGGCCGGAGAGAGUUGAAUUUACAUUAAAAUAAUGUUCACUCGAUCAUAAACAUAUUUGUGUGAUAGUUAUCUCUUCUGUGACCCUUUUGUUUUGUCUAUGUUUAGGUAUGUGGCGAGCUGCCCAUUGUUUUCUAGCGACUUUUGUUAUAUGGAAGCACGAACGGUCCAUAAACAAAGCAAGCAAGGUGGCAUAUAGUAGUAAUUGUAAUUUUUUGUUGGAAAUUAAUUCAAUAAAUUAAAAAAUAUCUUUUUGAAACAACAGUUUUGAGCAGUGUUACAAAAAAUGUAAAUCAGACUUAAUCAAUGAAAUCAUGUAAAUACUGAUAGGUGAUUAAUUAAAUUGAUCAAGAAUUAAUCAGAUUGAUUAAUCGAUUUAAUCGGUGAUUAAUCAGAAAAUUAAUCAGUUCGACGAAUUAUUAAAUAUAGAUUAAUCGAUGGAAGUUGUUUUACAAAAAAGGAUAGGAAAGUAAGAAAGGGGUUGGCCUUCCCAGUCAGCCAAGAGCUAAGCUGGAACAACUGAACAAGACGCCACAUGACUCUUGGUGACUUAGCCACACGCACUCGUACAGGGUCCAUUUGACUUUUUUGCUUGUACACACGUUUUAAAAUUACACUUGCAUUCAAUGUACACAACAGCUGUGCUCCGUCCGUGCAAGGUGUGAAGAAAAGGCAGAUCAAUUGAUACUCUUUCCGUCUCAAGUAGUGUACUUUUUUACGGUUUGUUUUCUCGAAUGGUUUGUUUUCUCGAAUGCGUUAUCUAAUUUUUUACAUUUCAAAACUUAUCUAAUAAUAAAAUUAUGAUACAUCGUUUGUUACCUAGAAAGGCUCUUCAACUUGCAACUCGGCUACCAUUAGUGUAGCUUCUUGCAUCUUAACAUUUUGUGGGUGUUUGGCAACUUAGGGGCCGUUUGGCUAAGCUUAAAAAAAGUGAUUCUNGGAUUAAUACCUUUCCUGAACUUCUCCUUCAAAACCCAGUAGCCUUCUCUUUUUUCCACUCUAGCCUCCAGCCUUUCGCCACCAUCACCGCCUUCUACGGCAGCAGAAGGCGGUGGCACGGCUGUUUGAGCUGGAGGAGUUGCAUGUAGCCUGGAAUUCUUGGUGUAGAAGCUUGUGUUUUGUAGCAUGGGAGGUGCCAAGAACUUGACAGAAAAGGAUGACAUUUUGUGGAGGAGGGUGUCGGAGUUUUUGGUGGUGCUGCCGGGGAGAGUGGUGGUGAGUGGUGGCUGAUAGAGGAGGUGAUGAACAUUUUGUAGAUGAGAAGGGGAGUGUGGUGGACUUUUGGUGAGUGCCAAAGGGCAGGGUGUUUUUGUGUGUUAUUGAGGUGUAAGGUGUUAAAUGUUAAAUUUCAUUGUCAAGGGGUGAAAUUGGUGAAAAGAUAAAAGAGCCUGAUUGGCUUUGAAGAUCGGGUUUUAAGUUAUUUUCGAUUUUAAAUUAAAAAUUAUUUAUUUAUAUAUUAAGUUAGAAAUUGU
This 2521-nucleotide long non-coding RNA is filed under the name Daucus carota (carrot). RNAcentral's name for it is "long non-coding RNA (DCAR_LNC005975)". Lineage: Eukaryota; Viridiplantae; Streptophyta; Magnoliopsida; Apiales; Apiaceae. The record is from RNAcentral.